Long non-coding RNA from Homarus americanus (American lobster), 746 nucleotides. RefSeq lists it as uncharacterized. The transcript is spliced from 3 exons. NCBI's taxonomy places the organism in Eukaryota, Metazoa, Arthropoda, Malacostraca, Decapoda, Nephropidae. The record is from RefSeq and is a predicted model, not a curated record.
UCUUUUUUUAAACUUUGCAUCAUAUUUUUCCAGUGAAUGUGUGAUUAUUACGCUGGUCCAAGAAACAAACAAACAAACAAACAAUAAACAAAGGCUCAUGUUGUUUACCUCAAGAAUGCGCUCGUUCCAUUACCCAAACAAGUCACUGAUAAUUAAUUGAUCAUUUCUGCAAAUUGAAAUUUUUUUAGUAGAUUACAAUUGACUUGCGAUAUAUUUACAGUAAUUUUGCCAGCUAAACAUUUACUUCACCGUGAGAUAAUUAUUUGAACAAUAUUUCAGAUGUAAACAAUAUCGUGUCAGCCAGAGUCAGCAGUGUAAACAUACUUUGUCCACCACUGAUUGGCUGGUAAGAGAGUUGUGCCGCGUUGAGUGACUAUCUCCAGCUGAUGUUUUUAGUGUAACAACACCAGGGAGACUGUGGCAGCUGUCUGGAUACACUGAGAUGAAGGCCAGAAUUACCAACCCUGCAAACAACCUUUACAUACAGCAACAAACAAACGGAUAAGAUGCCCCAAACUGCCGAAUAUUUGGCACCAUGGCAGGAGGUUCGACCAUCAAAUACCAUCCAUAAUUCCUAGAUGAUCGCCUGAUAAGUUUGUGAGUUAUUAAGACCCUCAUAACUCAGCCUCACCGUCCUCAUCACCAUCAACGGUCGUCACCAUCUCAUCAUCACUAAUCCGGGUGGGGAGUAAAAAAAAGUCACAUCUCACGAGUCUAAGUUUUGUUAGGUAAGGGAGGGAGGGAGG